AAGAAGCGGAGGGAAGCAACACAGCGCAGCGUGACUACGUGCUUGAUCUGUCUCCUCCUAAUGGGCAUGCAGAACCUCAGCUUUUAAGUUGGUCUCCGCAGAGGACAACUGCAUUCUCCAGCCUCCUGUACAGCAGAGAGUGCCAUGUGACUAAGACCAAGUUCUAACCAGUGGGAUCAAAGCAGGGAAGUGUUGCCUUCUUUGCCCCUUCCUGCUGGCUGGAAUAUGACAAAACGGCUGCAGCAUGAGCAACCUUCUUGGGCCCUGAGGUGGAAGCCACCUGUUGGUUGACAGACCAGAUGGUGGAGUGACCAGAUAGAAGGGGCCUGGUGAUUGUGGAUUCUGCCACACUACCUCUGGUCCCCUAUACCUAUGUGAAAGGAAAAGAAAUGUCUGCCAUGUUUGUGUGUGUGUGUGUGUGUGUGUCUGUGUAGUUUGUGUGUGUGUGUGUGUGUCUGCCAUGUUUAAGCCACUAUAACUUUGGGAUAUCUGUGGCUUAUAGUCAAAUCUAAUCCAAACAAAUGCACCUCUAUGUCCCCCUCACAGAUAAGAAGAUUGAUGCAAGGGAACCCCUGUUGUGGCCAUAACACAAAGAUAGCUUCAACCACCACCAACAUGGAGCUGGACUCCACCCUUCCUGGCCUCCUGGCCUUUUAUUCCCCGCUAAUUCCUCUGGAUUCCUAAUGACUCCCAUUCCCUGCAUGCACACCAGGUACAGUCACAUCUCCUGGCAUUUACUCUUGCCAUACCCACUGUCCA
Molecule: long non-coding RNA, 759 nt
Filed under: Pan troglodytes (chimpanzee)
Lineage: Eukaryota; Metazoa; Chordata; Mammalia; Primates; Hominidae
Description: long non-coding RNA NONPTRT009287
Source: RNAcentral